GGCAAGGCUGCAAUGGAGUGCUCUGGGUCCAGAAGGACUAUCUGUUUUCUACUGCUUUUCAGAGCUAAUUAAAUGGGAUUUAGCUCCUUUUUCCCAAGCCAGUACCACUAGUGUCAGUUUUCCUGGAUAAAUGAAUUGAAUCGGCUCACAAGUGAAGAGCGGAAGUUAUGUUAAUAAUGAGCAAAAAAUUUUAAUUCCACUGCAACCUGUUCUGAUUCCUAUAUUAUUUCAAUGACCUGUACCCUAAGAAGUCAGAUCUCUCGAAGGAAGGCAAGGUCGGAUUCAGAGCCUUGAAAACUUGUUCUUACCAUGCCUGGUGUGUACACUGUAGCCUGUUUGGACAUAAUCCUUUGGUAAUGUGGCAAUACCAGUGAUUUCAGGACAGUCCUUUUUGUCAAAAUUCCACAAGAAUAGUAAGGCAAGUUCUACUUCUCAAAUUAUUCUUUACCCCUGUGCAAUUGUUGUUUUUCAUUUUUAAUAGAAGUUUAGAAUUGUGUGGGUACA
Molecule: long non-coding RNA, 504 nt
Filed under: Calidris pygmaea (Spoon-billed sandpiper)
Lineage: Eukaryota; Metazoa; Chordata; Aves; Charadriiformes; Scolopacidae
Description: lncRNA (ENSCPGG00000000218.1)
Source: RNAcentral